GGGCGUGUAGCUCAGCUGGGAGAGCGCCGGCUUCGCAAGUCGGAGGUCAGGGGUUCGAUCCCCCUCACGUCCA
RNAcentral lists this transfer RNA (73 nucleotides) under Elusimicrobiota bacterium. Its description in RNAcentral is "Elusimicrobia bacterium (groundwater metagenome) tRNA-Ala". It matches the Rfam family "tRNA". Rfam says of the family: Transfer RNA (tRNA) molecules are approximately 80 nucleotides in length. Their secondary structure includes four short double-helical elements and three loops (D, anti-codon, and T loops). Further hydrogen bonds mediate the characteristic L-shaped molecular structure. tRNAs have two regions of fundamental functional importance: the anti-codon, which is responsible for specific mRNA codon recognition, and the 3' end, to which the tRNAs corresponding amino acid is attached (by aminoacyl-tRNA synthetases). tRNAs cope with the degeneracy of the genetic code in two manners: having more than one tRNA (with a specific anti-codon) for a particular amino acid; and 'wobble' base-pairing, i.e. permitting non-standard base-pairing at the 3rd anti-codon position. The record is from RNAcentral. Lineage: Bacteria; Pseudomonadati; Elusimicrobiota.